CAGGUCUUCUAGGUCCUCUUCUGGCGAAUUUUUUUUUUGGGCCCCGUUGGGUGUGGCUUUAGCUGUUCCAGUAUGCACUUCCUUGCGGUUGCAGUGGUCUGGUAGUACGAGGCUCGGCAGUCAAUGGACAUCUUGCAACCGCGAUUUUGACAUAAACGAACUGCUGUCUUUUGUGCACCUUUCGAGCAGUAACCUGCACCGUUUAUUGAAAGGGGGCCUCAGUUUUGUCGUCUGCUGAACGUGGUUUUCUCGGCACAAAUCAACUUCAAUAAAUUAGGCGACAGGUGUAAACAUUGGAUAUGCAUUUUGGCAACUGGCAUUAUAUUUCAAACUAGGCAUUGGUUGAUAUAUGGUUGGUGACAUGAAUGACAGUAACUGAGGGGAGAAGUCUAACAGAAGGCCUAUCAGACAGGUGCCAACUGGUUCUUCUAAAGGCAGGAAAGUCUUAGAGACUUAGCCAAAGUCAGGGAUGCUGAUCUGCAUCCUGUGAGAAAAGAAAUAGCGACUGCUUCUGUUGCACAUACACAAUGGAAGUUGUCUAUUACAAGUCACAAAUUAUAGAUCUGACCACAAUGUUUGGACGUUAUUAUAAUUAUAGUUCUAACAAG
This is a long non-coding RNA of Corticium candelabrum, 608 nucleotides long. RefSeq lists it as uncharacterized. Lineage: Eukaryota; Metazoa; Porifera; Homoscleromorpha; Homosclerophorida; Plakinidae. The record is from RefSeq and is a predicted model, not a curated record. The transcript has 4 exons.